AUGAGUUCCCACAAGCAGAAGCAGCCCUUUACCUCACCCCCUCAGCUUCAACAGCAGCAGGUGAAACAGCACAGCCAGCCUCUCCCUUAGGAACCAUUUGUUCCCAUAACCAAGGAGCCAUGCUACCCAAAACUUGGAACCUGGAACCUGGAAACACCAAGAUUCCAGAGUUAGGCUGCACCAAGAUCCCUGAGCCAGGCUGCACCAAGGUCCUUGAGUCAAUCUCCACCAAGGUACCAGAGCCACAUCCUUCAACAGUCACUUCCGGCCCAGCUCAGCAGAAGUCCAAGUAGAAGUAA
RNAcentral lists this long non-coding RNA (299 nucleotides) under Homo sapiens (human). RNAcentral's name for it is "non-protein coding lnc-SPRR1B-1:1". Lineage: Eukaryota; Metazoa; Chordata; Mammalia; Primates; Hominidae. The record is from RNAcentral.